GUGCGUUUACUUAUCAUCAAUGUGCAACCGACCAGCAAAUAACAACUCACACAUCUUGGUUUUUAAGAAUAUACAAUAUUAUCGACUCACAAUCACUCGUGAUAAAAUCCAUGAAGUGAUUCUUGUGAGCGUGGGUUUAAUCCAAUGCUCAAAUCAUAUUCAUAAGCACUCAUGAACGUUGCAACAAACAUUUGCUUAUGUCUAAUACACUUUAGACAAUCCACACACCAAUUCACAACAGUCUUCAUUCAUACCUACUUCCAACAUAUGAACGACUGUGGUCCGUUCGAAUAAUUCNAGUGAUCCAUGUGAGCGUGGGUUUAAUCCAAUGCUCAAAUCAUAUUCAUAAGCACUCAUGAACGUUGCAGCAAACAUUUGCUUAUGUCUAAUACACUUUAGACAAUCCACACACCAAUUCACGACAGUCUUCAUUCAUACCUACUUCCAACAUAUGAACGACUGUGGUCCGUUCGAAUAAUUCGAUUGUUCUGAACCAAUUUAAUUAUUCAGGAAGUCAAAACAUGCAAAGUGAAACACAAGAAUCAUACUAAUCCUAUAUGGACCAAAU
This 568-nucleotide long non-coding RNA is filed under the name Lactuca sativa (garden lettuce). Its description in RNAcentral is "long non-coding RNA (LSAT_LNC002285)". Lineage: Eukaryota; Viridiplantae; Streptophyta; Magnoliopsida; Asterales; Asteraceae. The record is from RNAcentral.